Molecule: ribosomal RNA, 1479 nt
Filed under: uncultured Bordetella sp.
Lineage: Bacteria; Pseudomonadati; Pseudomonadota; Betaproteobacteria; Burkholderiales; Alcaligenaceae
Description: partial 16S-23S ribosomal RNA intergenic spacer
Rfam family: Bacterial small subunit ribosomal RNA
Source: RNAcentral
GGUUUGAUCAUGGCUCAGAUUGAACGCUGGCGGGAUGCUUUACACAUGCAAGUCGAAUGGCAGCACGGACUUCGGUCUGGUGGCGAGUGGCGAACGGGUGAGUAAUGUAUCGGAACGUGCCUAGUAGUGGGGGAUAACUACGCGAAAGCGUAGCUAAUACCGCAUACGCCCUUCGGGGGAAAGCGGGGACCUUUCGGGCCUGGCAUUAGAGCGGCCGAUAUCGGAUUAGCUAGUUGGUGGGGUAACGGCUCACCAAGGCGACGAUCCGUAGCUGGUUUGAGAGGACGACCAGCCACACUGGACUGAGACACGGCCCAGACUCUACGGGAGGCAGCAGUGGGGAAUUUUGGACAAUGGGGGAAACUCUUGAUCCAGCCAUCCCGCGUGUGCGAUGAAGGCCUUCGGGUUGUAAAGCACUUUUGGCAGGAAAGAAACGGCACGGAUAAUACCCCGUGCAACUGACGGUACCUGCAGAAUAAGCACCGGCUAACUACGUGCCAGCAGCCGCGGUAAUACGUAGGGUGCAAGCGUUAAUCGGAAUUACUGGGCGUAAAGCGUGCGCAGGCGGUUCGGAAAGAAAGAUGUGAAAUCCCAGAGCUUAACUUUGGAACUGCAUUUUUAACUACCGAGCUAGAGUGUGUCAGAGGGAGGUGGAAUUCCGCGUGUAGCAGUGAAAUGCGUAGAUAUGCGGAGAACACCGAUGGCGAAGGCAGCCUCCUGGGAUAACACUGACGCUCAUGCACGAAAGCGUGGGGAGCAAACAGGAUUAGAUACCCUGGUAGUCCACGCCCUAAACGAUGUCAACUAGCUGUUGGGGCCUUCUGCCUGGUAGCGCAGCUAACGUGAAGUUGACCGCCUGGGGAGUACGGUCGCAAGAUUAAAACUCAAAGGAAUUGACGGGGACCCGCACAAGCGGUGGAUGAUGUGGAUUAAUUCGAUGCAACGCGAAAAACCUACCUACCCUUGACAUGUCUGGAAUCCCGAAGAGAUUUGGGAGUGCUCGCAAGAGAACCGGAACACGAGGCGUUUGUGGUGGCUGUCGUCAGCUCGUGUCGUGAGAUGUUGGGUUAAGUCCCGCAACGAGCGCAACCCUUGUCAUUAGUUGCUACGAAAGGGCACGCAAUGAGACUGCCGGUGACAAACCGGAGGAAGGUGGGGAUGACGUCAAGUCCUCAUGGCCCUUAUGGGUAGGGCUUCACACGUCAUACAAUGGUCGUGGGACAGAGGGUCGCCAACCCGCGAGGGGGAGCCAAUCCCAGAAACCCGAUCGUAGUCCGGAUCGCAGUCUGCAACUCGACUGCGUGAAGUCGGAAUCGCUAGUAAUCGCGGAUCAGCAUGUCGCGGUGAAUACGUUCCCGGGUCUUGUACACACCGCCCGUCACACCAUGGGAGUGGGUUUUACCAGAAGUAGUUAGCCUAACCGUAAGGAGGGCGAUUACCACGGUAGGAUUCAUGACUGGGGUGAAGUCAACAAGGCAG